Molecule: ribosomal RNA, 211 nt
Filed under: uncultured bacterium
Lineage: Bacteria
Description: partial 16S ribosomal RNA
Rfam family: Bacterial small subunit ribosomal RNA
Source: RNAcentral
AGUUCGGAUUGUAGUCUGCAACUCGACUACAUGAAGCUGGAAUCGCUAGUAAUCGCGAAUCAGCAUGUCGCGGUGAAUACGUUCCCGGGUCUUGUACACACCGCCCGUCACACCAUGGGAGUCGGUAACGCCCGAAGUCAGUGACCCAACCGGAAGGAGGGAGCUGCCGAAGGCGGGACUGGUAACUGGGGUGAAGUCGUAACAAGGUAGC